AUGGUUUCAAUCGAAGCUCCAAUCAGAACCAUAGUCAAGGGAUUUUAUUAUCUAGCAACAACAAUCGCGGUGAGGAAAAUUGAAGAUGUGAAGUUGUUGUUGCACAAGAGAUUGCAGAAGUUUGUUGCCAAGAGGGAUAAAGGAUUUGUCGUGGUUGUUGCAGAGAAGGAUGAAGGAUUUGUUGUGGUUGUUGCAGAGAAGGAUGAAGGAUUUGUUGUGGUCGUUGCAGAGAAGGAUGAAGGAUUUGUUGUGGUCAUUGCAGAGAAGGAUGGUUGA
This is a non-coding RNA of Vicia faba (fava bean), 276 nucleotides long. The record is from the annotation of a GenBank genome assembly. NCBI's taxonomy places the organism in Eukaryota, Viridiplantae, Streptophyta, Magnoliopsida, Fabales, Fabaceae.